AAAUUGAAGAGUUUGAUCAUGGCUCAGAUUGAACGCUGGCGGCAGGCCUAACACAUGCAAGUCGAACGGUAACAGGAAGCAGCUUGCUGCUUGCUGACGAGUGGCGGACGGGUGAGUAAUGUCUGGGAAACUGCCUGAUGGAGGGGGAUAACUACUGGAAACGGUGGCUAAUACCGCAUAACGUCGCAAGACCAAAGAGGGGGACCUUCGGGCCUCUUGCCAUCAGAUGUGCCCAGAUGGGAUUAGCUUGUUGGUGAGGUAACGGCUCACCAAGGCGACGAUCCCUAGCUGGUCUGAGAGGAUGACCAGCCACACUGGAACUGAGACACGGUCCAGACUCCUACGGGAGGCAGCAGUGGGGAAUAUUGCACAAUGGGCGCAAGCCUGAUGCAGCCAUGCCGCGUGUAUGAAGAAGGCCUUCGGGUUGUAAAGUACUUUCAGCGGGGAGGAAGGUGUUGUGGUUAAUAACCGCAGCAAUUGACGUUACCCGCAGAAGAAGCACCGGCUAACUCCGUGCCAGCAGCCGCGGUAAUACGGAGGGUGCAAGCGUUAAUCGGAAUUACUGGGCGUAAAGCGCACGCAGGCGGUCUGUCAAGUCGGAUGUGAAAUCCCCGGGCUCAACCUGGGAACUGCAUUCGAAACUGGCAGGCUUGAGUCUUGUAGAGGGGGGUAGAAUUCCAGGUGUAGCGGUGAAAUGCGUAGAGAUCUGGAGGAAUACCGGUGGCGAAGGCGGCCCCCUGGACAAAGACUGACGCUCAGGUGCGAAAGCGUGGGGAGCAAACAGGAUUAGAUACCCUGGUAGUCCACGCCGUAAACGAUGUCUACUUGGAGGUUGUGCCCUUGAGGCGUGGCUUCCGGAGCUAACGCGUUAAGUAGACCGCCUGGGGAGUACGGCCGCAAGGUUAAAACUCAAAUGAAUUGACGGGGGCCCGCACAAGCGGUGGAGCAUGUGGUUUAAUUCGAUGCAACGCGAAGAACCUUACCUGGUCUUGACAUCCACGGAAGUUUUCAGAGAUGAGAAUGUGCCUUCGGGAACCGUGAGACAGGUGCUGCAUGGCUGUCGUCAGCUCGUGUUGUGAAAUGUUGGGUUAAGUCCCGCAACGAGCGCAACCCUUAUCCUUUGUUGCCAGCGAUUAGGUCGGGAACUCAAAGGAGACUGCCAGUGAUAAACUGGAGGAAGGUGGGGAUGACGUCAAGUCAUCAUGGCCCUUACGACCAGGGCUACACACGUGCUACAAUGGCGCAUACAAAGAGAAGCGACCUCGCGAGAGCAAGCGGACCUCAUAAAGUGCGUCGUAGUCCGGAUUGGAGUCUGCAACUCGACUCCAUGAAGUCGGAAUCGCUAGUAAUCGUGGAUCAGAAUGCCACGGUGAAUACGUUCCCGGGCCUUGUACACACCGCCCGUCACACCAUGGGAGUGGGUUGCAAAAGAAGUAGGUAGCUUAACCUUCGGGAGGGCGCUUACCACUUUGUGAUUCAUGACUGGGGUGAAGUCGUAACAAGGUAACCGUAGGGGAACCUGCGGUUGGAUCACCUCCUUA
This 1541-nucleotide ribosomal RNA is filed under the name Salmonella enterica subsp. enterica serovar Tennessee. RNAcentral's name for it is "bacterial SSU rRNA". It matches the Rfam family "Bacterial small subunit ribosomal RNA". The record is from RNAcentral. Lineage: Bacteria; Pseudomonadati; Pseudomonadota; Gammaproteobacteria; Enterobacterales; Enterobacteriaceae.